UACAGAGGUCCCAAGCGUUGUUCGGAUUCACUGGGCGUAAAGGGUGCGUAGGUGGCGAGGUAAGUCGGAUGUGAAAGCUCGGAGCUCAACUCCGAAAUGGCAUUGGAAACUACCUUGCUUGAGGGUUGGAGGGGGGACUGGAAUUCUCGGUGUAGCAGUGAAAUGCGUAGAUAUCGAGAGGAACACCAGUGGCGAAGGCGAGUCCCUGGACAACACCUGACACUGAGGCACGAAAGCUAGGGGAGCAAACAGG
RNAcentral lists this ribosomal RNA (253 nucleotides) under uncultured bacterium. RNAcentral describes it as "partial 16S ribosomal RNA". It matches the Rfam family "Bacterial small subunit ribosomal RNA", at positions 524 to 776 of the family's 1533-position model. The record is from RNAcentral.